Molecule: ribosomal RNA, 386 nt
Filed under: uncultured Candidatus Saccharibacteria bacterium
Lineage: Bacteria; Candidatus Saccharimonadota
Description: bacterial SSU rRNA
Rfam family: Bacterial small subunit ribosomal RNA
Source: RNAcentral
CAGGGUUUGACAUCCCGAGAAGGCUUCCGAAAGGAAACUGUGCCGCAAGGAACUCGGUGACAGGUGUUGCAUGGCCGUCGUCAGCUCGUGUCGUGAGAUGUUUGGUUAAGUCCAUCAACGAGCGCAACCCUUUUAGUCAGUUGGAUUUCUCUGGCUAGACUGCCCCGGUAACGGGGAGGAAGGAGGGGAUGAUGUCAGGUCAGUAUUACCCUUACACCCUGGGCUAGAAACACGCUACAAUGGCCGGUACAAAGGGCAGCCAAGUCGCGAGACGGAGCAAAUCCCAUCAAAGCCGGUCCCAGUUCGGAUAGCAGGCUGAAACUCGCCUGCUUGAAGUCGGAAUCGCUAGUAACGGUGAGUCAGCACAUCACCGUGAAUACGUUCCC